Molecule: long non-coding RNA, 604 nt
Filed under: Heterocephalus glaber (naked mole-rat)
Lineage: Eukaryota; Metazoa; Chordata; Mammalia; Rodentia; Bathyergidae
Description: lncRNA (ENSHGLG00000035751.1)
Source: RNAcentral
GAAAAAGGUGCCAGGAAGAAGUAGCCCUUCCUUAUACAGGGACCUCUAAUAUAAAAUCAAAGAUAUGAGGCAAUACCAAAAACUAUGAGGCUACUAAUGGGAAGGGGUGGCUUUCAGAUUUUUAAAUUUAAUCAAUUUAAGAAAUUGAGCCCUGCAUUGACAAAGCGAAAGGAAAUGAGUGAUAAUUAGAUCAGAGAAAAGAAGGAGGAAACGUAGAAUUGGCAGUGAGCACAAGACAAAGGCAACUCUAGAGGAGACCACAGCACAAUUCCCAGUCUUAGUCUUGCUCCCAGCCUAGUUCCACCAGACCCAGGACACCUGAUUCAGCCAGGUAGGGAGCAGAAGGGGAGAGAGAGCUCAAGAUUACACUCCAAGCCUGUGGCCUCCUGUAAAAUGAUGCAGAAGCAAUAAUCACGAGAUCACAUGCCACCAAGUCCUUCAGUAUUGCACCUGGGGUUUGCAAAAGUCCAUCAGUGACUGUGCAUUGCCCAUGCCUUCAGCUCACUGGAUCUCUCCCUCUGGCUGCCCUGUCUCCAGUUCAAAUUUGGCAUUACAGAAUUUCAAGCUUCCUUUUCUAAAUAAACAGAAUCACAAUACACUGUAA